CGCGUAGGCGGUCGAUCAAGUCUGGGGUGAAAUCUUUCGGCUUAACCGGAAAAGUGCCUUGGAUACUGGUCGGCUGGAGGGAGGUAGGGGCAGCUGGAACUUCCGGUGGAGCGGUGAAAUGCGUUGAUAUCGGAAGGAACGCCGGUGGCGAAAGCGAGCUGCUGGACCUCUUCUGACGCUGAUGCGCGAAAGCUAGGGGAGCAAACG
RNAcentral lists this ribosomal RNA (207 nucleotides) under uncultured bacterium. RNAcentral describes it as "partial 16S ribosomal RNA". It matches the Rfam family "Bacterial small subunit ribosomal RNA", at positions 568 to 774 of the family's 1533-position model. The record is from RNAcentral.